Molecule: non-coding RNA, 126 nt
Organism: Pseudonaja textilis
Lineage: Eukaryota; Metazoa; Chordata; Lepidosauria; Squamata; Elapidae
Source: RefSeq, a predicted model, not a curated record
CCUUCCUUCCUUUUAUUCUUUUUUAAUUUUUAUUUUAAACAAACAUAGACAAACAAAACAUAAAACCACCUUCCAGUUACAUAUAGAGUGUUGGUUGGUUACAAGCCUUUUGUGCUUCAUCUCCAU